CGCAAGCCUGACGGAGCAAGACCGCGUGAGGGAGGAAGGCUCUUGGGUUGUAAACCUCUUUUCUCAGGGAAGAAGCUCUGACGGUACCUGAGGAAUCAGCCUCGGCUAACUCCGUGCCAGCAGCCGCGGUAAGACGGAGGAUGCAAGCGUUAUCCGGAAUUAUUGGGCGUAAAGCGUCCGUAGGCGGUUUAGAAAGUCUGAUGUUAAAGCCCACAGCUCAACUGUGGAUGGGCAUUGGAAACUUCUAGACUAGAGAGUGGUAGGGGUAGAGGGAAUUCCUAGUGUAGCGGUGAAAUGCGUAGAUAUUAGGAAGAACACCAGUGGCGAAGGCGCUCUACUGGGCCAUUACUGACGCUGAUGGACGAAAGCUAGGGGAGCG
Molecule: ribosomal RNA, 379 nt
Filed under: uncultured cyanobacterium
Lineage: Bacteria; Bacillati; Cyanobacteriota
Description: bacterial SSU rRNA
Rfam family: Bacterial small subunit ribosomal RNA
Source: RNAcentral